UUUUUUAAGAGUUUGAUCCUGGCUCAGGAUGAAUGCUAGCAGUGCGCCUGAGAUAUGCAAGUCGAGCGUUGCCUUGAGAGAGCUUGCUCUUGAGAGGAAGCGGCGGACGGCUGAGUAACACGUAGGAUCUCCCCUAGGUAAAGAAUAGCUCACCGAAAGGUGGGGUAAUGCUUUAUGGUCUCCGAUUUUUCGGAGUAAAGUCUUCGGACGCAAAGGAUGAACCUGCGGCCUAUCAGGUAGUUGGUGAGAUAAUAGCUUCACCAAGCCUAUGACGGGUAGCUGGCCUCAUGAGGGUGGUCAGCCAGAGGGGACUGAGACACGGCCCCACUCCUACGGGAGGCAGCAAUCAGGAAUCGUCGGCAAUGGGGGAAACCUGACCGCGCGACACUGCGUGUAGGAAGAAGCUCGAAAGAGUGUAAACUACUGUGGUACAGGAAGAAGUCUUCGGAUUGACGGUACUGUACUAGAAAGGGGCCGCUAAUUGCGUGCCAGAAGCGUCGGUAAUACGUGAGCCCCAAGCAUUAUCCGGUUUAAUUGGGCGUAAAGGGUCGUGUAGGUGGACAGGUAAGUUAUCUUUUAAAUCCAGAGGCUCAACCUCUGAUCUGGAGGUAAUACUCCCUGUCUAGAAUUUUCUUUAGGUAAGCGGAACUGAGUGAGUAGUAGUGAAAUGCGUUGAUACACUCGGGAACACCAGUGGCGAAGGCGGCUUACUGGAAGAAGAUUGACACUGAGACACGAAAGCUAGGGUAGCGAAGCAGAUUAGAGACCUGCGUAGUCCUAGCCCUAAACGAAUGUUCGCUGGCUGCAUUGGCCAACUUUAUGUUGUCCGGUGUGGCGAAGGUAACCCGUUAAGCGAACCGCCUGGGGAGUACGGCCGCAAGGCUAAAACUCAAAGGAAUUGGCGGGGAGGCACACAACCAGUGGAACAUGUGGCUUAAUUCGAGACAAACCGAAGAACCUCACCAGGGUUUGACAUGCAACUGCUCGUCCUAUGAAAGUAGGAUUCUUUCGAAGGUGUUGCACAGGUGCUGCAUGGCUGUCGUCAGUUCGUUCCGUGAGGAGUGCCCUUAAGUGGGACAACGAACGCAACCCCCAUCGUAUGUUACAAGUGUCAUACGAAACUGCCCAAGUCUGACUUGGGAGGAAGGAGGGGCAGAUGUCAAGUCAGCAUGGUCCUUAUACCCUGGGCUGCACACAUGUUACAAUGGGAUGGACAAUGGGUUUUGCAAACUCGCGAGAGUAAGCGAAUCCCACAAACCAUCUCUCAGUUGGGAUUGAAGUCUGCAAUUCGACUUCAUGAACGCGGAAUUGGUAGUAAUCGUGGAUCAGCUACGCCACGGUGAAUACGUUCUUGCCUCUUGCACACACCGCCCGUCAAGCCAACAAAGUCGUUGGUAUUCGAACCUCGUGUUUACACGGGGGAGAGUACUGAUGGCGAUGAGGGUUAAGUCGUAACAAGGUAUCCGUUCUGGAAGGAGCGGAUGGAUCACCUCCUUU
Molecule: ribosomal RNA, 1497 nt
Filed under: Candidatus Roizmanbacteria bacterium
Lineage: Bacteria; Candidatus Roizmaniibacteriota
Description: bacterial SSU rRNA
Rfam family: Bacterial small subunit ribosomal RNA
Source: RNAcentral